UAAUCACCUUUUUUGUGUAGGAUAGAGGCCUACCAUGCCAUAACGGGUAACGGGGAAUUAGGGUUCGAUUCCGGAGAGGGAGCCUGAGAAACGGCUACCACAUCCAAGGAAGGCAGCAGGCGCGCAAAUUACCCAAUCCCGAUACGGGGAGGUAGUGACAAUAAAUAACAAUACAGGGCUCUUAUGGGUCUUGUAAUUGGAAUGAGUACAAUUUAAAUCCCUUAACGAGGAACAAUUGGAGGGCAAGUCUGGUGCCAGCAGCCGCGGUAAUUCCAGCUCCAAUAGCGUAUAUUAAAGUUGUUGCAGUUAAAAAGCUCGUAGUUGAAUUUCGGGGUUCUACCGUUGGUCGGGCAAUAGUCUGUACUGGCGUGUAGAAUUUCUACCUUCUGGGGAACCAUCAUGUUAUUUAUUUAGCGUGGUGGGAAACCAGGACCUUUACCUUGAAAAAAUUAGAGUGUUCAAAGCAGGCUUACGUCUGAAUACAUUAGCAUGGAAUAAUAAAAUAGGACGGUGGUCCUGUUUUGUUGGUUUCUGAAUCACCGUAAUGAUUAAUAGGGAUAGUUGGGGGCAUUAGUAUUCAAUUGUCAGAGGUGAAAUUCUUGGAUUUAUUGAAGACUAACUUCUGCGAAAGCAUUUGCCAAGGAUGUUUUCAUUAAUCAAGAACGAAAGUUAGGGGAUCGAAGACGAUCAGAUACCGUCGUAGUCUUAACCAUAAACUAUGCCGACUAGGGAUCGGACGAUGUUAAUUUUUCUUGACUCGUGAGGCGCCUUACGGGAAACCAAAGUGUUUUGGGUUCA
RNAcentral lists this ribosomal RNA (798 nucleotides) under Gigaspora margarita. Its description in RNAcentral is "SSU rRNA". It matches the Rfam family "Eukaryotic small subunit ribosomal RNA", at positions 312 to 1115 of the family's 1831-position model. The record is from RNAcentral. Lineage: Eukaryota; Fungi; Glomeromycota; Glomeromycetes; Diversisporales; Gigasporaceae.